RNAcentral lists this ribosomal RNA (114 nucleotides) under Paramormyrops kingsleyae. Lineage: Eukaryota; Metazoa; Chordata; Actinopteri; Osteoglossiformes; Mormyridae. The record is from RNAcentral.
GUUGGCAAACAUACCACCUGCAGAUCUGACUUCGUAACUCAUCUGAAGCUAGGCAGGUUUGGGCCUGGCCAGUACUUGGCUGGGAAACUAACUAGGAAAGCUGGGUUGCUGCUG